AGAAUCAACGCUGGCGGCGUGCCUAACACAUGCAAGUCGAACGAGAAAGUGGAGCAAUCCAUGAGUAAAGUGGCGCACGGGUGAGUAACACGUGACUAACCUACCCUCGAGUGGGGAAUAACUUCGGGAAACCGAGGCUAAUACCGCAUAAAAACCUAAGGGUCAAAGGAGCAAUCCGUUUGAGGAGGGGGUCGCGGCAGAUUAGUUAGUUGGCGGGGUAAUGGCCCACCAAGACGAUGAUCUGUAUCCGGCCUGAGAGGGCGCACGGACACACUGGAACUGAAACACGGUCCAGACUCCUACGGGAGGCAGCAGUGGGAAUUUUGCGCAAUGGGGGAAACCCUGACGCAGCAACGCCGCGUGGAGGAUGAAAUCCCUUGGGAUGUAAACUCCUUUCGAUCGGGAAGAUAAUGACGGUACCGGAAGAAGAAGCCCCGGCUAACUUCGUGCCAGCAGCCGC
RNAcentral lists this ribosomal RNA (460 nucleotides) under uncultured bacterium. RNAcentral's name for it is "SSU rRNA". It matches the Rfam family "Bacterial small subunit ribosomal RNA", at positions 26 to 518 of the family's 1533-position model. The record is from RNAcentral.